Molecule: ribosomal RNA, 460 nt
Filed under: uncultured Methylomirabilota bacterium
Lineage: Bacteria; Methylomirabilota (SeqCode)
Description: bacterial SSU rRNA
Rfam family: Bacterial small subunit ribosomal RNA
Source: RNAcentral
GGGCUUGACAUCCCACGAAUCCCUUCGAAAGACGGGAGUGCCCGCAAGGGAGCGCGGAGACAGGUGGUGCAUGGCUGUCGUCAGCUCGUGUCGUGAGAUGUUGGGUUAAGUCCCGCAACGAGCGCAACCCUCACCUCUUGUUGCCACCAGGUCAUGCUGGGCACUCUAGAGGAACUGCCCCGGUCAACGGGGAGGAAGGCGGGGAUGACGUCAAGUCAUCAUGCCCCUUACGUCCUGGGCUACACACGUGCUACAAUGGCCGGUACAAAGGGAUGCCACACCGCGAGGUAGAGCUAAACCCAAAAAGCCGGUCUAAGUUCAGAUUGGAGUCUGCAACUCGACUCCAUGAAGGAGGAAUCGCUAGUAAUCGCGUAUCAGCACGACGCGGUGAAUACGUUCCCGGGCCUUGUACACACCGCCCGUCACACCACGAAAGCCCGUUGUACUCGAAGUCGCUGAG